RNAcentral lists this long non-coding RNA (1451 nucleotides) under Setaria viridis. Its description in RNAcentral is "long non-coding RNA (SVIR_LNC001890)". Lineage: Eukaryota; Viridiplantae; Streptophyta; Magnoliopsida; Poales; Poaceae. The record is from RNAcentral.
GGUACUUGUUCUUGAGCAAAAUGGGAACUUGGGACAUUGUAGAACAUAAUUGGGAAGAAGUUGGACUGGAAGAAGAAGAAUUGGACCACUAAAUCGAAGCACCAAGUAAGAUCAGUGUUACUGUCAGUGACUGACGAACUGAAUAUCAGUUUCAGUAAACUUCAAAGGAAUCCGAGAAACAAAAUCAAAAUUCAAUUGUAUUUGAUGAUUAUCUCGAGUCAGAACCAAAACAAAAGAUGAAGGGUUUGAGUUUAUCUUCAACUUCUGUUAAGGCGCUUGGAGGCCGUCGGAUUGGAGAUCGACCGCAAUUCAACUCUGAAGAUCACGGGCGUUAGAGAAGAAAAGAGGAGCGGUGACAGAGCAACAAGACGUGUCGCCGCCGCCGUCGUCGGUCGCUCGCCAGCACGUCUAGCUAGGCCACCUCCUCACCACAUAAGCCUACGGGUAGGCCACGGUGUCGCCCAUGCGUGCGGUGAAACACUUGAAUAUCUACCGCUCCCGCGCCGCCGUUUUCACCGCCGUCCUUUUACCGCCGCCAGCGCCUCCUCUGCUGAACACCGCCGCCGAGAAAAAUUCCGCCGCCACACCGCAGCUCCCGUCGAUUCUUUCCGUCCACACCUCCGCCUACACCCCACCAGCAACCUUAGCAACUUGUUGCCCAGCCUUCUCGCCGUCACGCCUUGAACCACCGCCGUUUCUGUCCGCCGUCGUCGCGCCGCCCGCUCACGGUGAGCACCACCUCGCGCUGCUUCUCUUCCUUCUUGAGUAAUCGUAGUCGAGUCCUUAGGGUCCUAGGAUGGUGUAAGGGUAGCUGUUUGAGUCGGUUGUGCCGUCAUCGUGAAUAGCCACGACCGGCCGAGGGAGUCGCCGCCCGUCGCCGUGGAGGGGAUGGCUCCGGCCAUCUCCCAAGGAGCUGUUGCCGCGCACGGGUGCGUGAAGGUGUAGGGGUGCCGUCCUUGUCUAGCUUCGCUGCCGGUGGGGCGCCGGCUGGCGAGUCGCGCCGCCCCCUGUCGCGGGCGCGUUUUGGCGGGAGGAGGAAGAAGUGUCUGGUUGCUUGGGCCCGCGUGGCAGAGAAAGAAAGGAGAGGAGGGGGAAGAAGGAGGCCGGGUGCGCGGCCGUUAGCUGGGCCGCGGCCUGGUGGCCCAGUGAAGCGCGUGAGGUCAGCCGAAAUCGGAAAAAGGCCGGAGGCCCGGCGCAGCUAGUAGGCCGACGUCGCGAAAGAAAAAGAAAAAGAAAGAGGGCCGUGGGCCGGUGUCGGGCCAGAGAAAGGGGAAGGAAAAGAGAAUCGGCCCACGGGGCCCGUCACAGAAAUUUCUAGGAGUGUCCAAAAUUAGUGAAACCAAUUUUGUUAGGCUUGUUUUAUUUUUCUUUAUGCAUUAAAAUUUUUACACCCUAGAAAAAUAAUAAAAAUUCGGGUAUUUAUUUAAUGCCUUCCUUUUAGGGUAAUUAAA